This 522-nucleotide ribosomal RNA is filed under the name uncultured bacterium. Its description in RNAcentral is "bacterial SSU rRNA". It matches the Rfam family "Bacterial small subunit ribosomal RNA", at positions 8 to 518 of the family's 1533-position model. The record is from RNAcentral.
AGAGUUUGAUCAUGGCUCAGGAUGAACGCUAGCGAUAGGCCUAACACAUGCAAGUCGAGGGGCAGCACAUGAGUAGCAAUACGAUGGUGGCGACCGGCGCACGGGUGAGUAACACGUAUGCAACCUACCUUUAACAAGGUGAUACCCCGUUGAAAGACGGACUAAUAACCUAUAAAACAGGGCUCCCGCAUGGGAAUAUUUGUUAAAAGAUUUAUCGGUUAAAGAUGGGCAUGCGUUCCAUUAGAUAGUUGGUGAGGUAACGGCUCACCAAGUCAACGAUGGAUAGGGGAACUGAGAGGUUUAUCCCCCACAUUGGAACUGAGACACGGUCCAAACUCCUACGGGAGGCAGCAGUGAGGAAUAUUGGUCAAUGGAGGCAACUCUGAAACCCGGCCAAGUCGCGUGAAGGAAGACUGCCCUAAGGGUUGUAAACUUCUUUUGUAAGGGAAUAAAGUGUAGUACGUGUACUAUUUUGCAUGUACCUUACGAAUAAGGAUCGGCUAACUCCGUGCCAGCCGCCGC